RNAcentral lists this ribosomal RNA (382 nucleotides) under uncultured bacterium. RNAcentral's name for it is "bacterial SSU rRNA". It matches the Rfam family "Bacterial small subunit ribosomal RNA", at positions 335 to 702 of the family's 1533-position model. The record is from RNAcentral.
ACUCCUACGGGGAGGCAGCAGUGGGGAAUAUUGCACAAUGGGGGAAACCCCUGAUGCAGCCAUGCCGCGUGUGUGAAGAAGGCCUUCGGGUUGUAAAGCACUUUCAGUAGGGAGGAAGGUAGUGUAGUUAACACCUGCACUAUUUGUACGUUACCUACAGAAGAAGCACCGGCUAACUCCGUGCCAGCAGCCGCGGUAAGUACGGAGGGUGCGAGCGUUAAUCGGAAUUACUGGGCGUAAAGCGCAUGCAGGUUGGUUUGUUAAGUCAGAUGUGAAAGCCCGGGGUCUCAACCGUCGGAAUAGCAUUUGAAACUGGCAGACUAGAGUACUGUAGAGGGGUUAGAAUUUCAGGUGUAGCGGUAGAAAUGCGUAGAGAUCUGAA